GACGAACGCUGGCGGCGCGCCUAACACAUGCAAGUCGAACGAGCGAGAGAGAGCUUGCUUUCUUGAGCGAGUGGCGAACGGGUGAGUAACGCGUGAGGAACCUGCCUCAAAGAGGGGGACAACAGUUGGAAACGACUGCUAAUACCGCAUAAGCCCACGGUGCCGCAUGGCACAGAGGGAAAAGGAGCAAUCCGCUUUGAGAUGGCCUCGCGUCCGAUUAGCUAGUUGGUGAGGUAACGGCCCACCAAGGCGACGAUCGGUAGCCGGACUGAGAGGUUGAACGGCCACAUUGGGAUUGAGACACGGCCCAGACUCCUACGGGAGGCAGCAGUGGGGAAUAUUGCACAAUGGGGGAAACCCUGAUGCAGCGACGCCGCGUGGAGGAAGAAGGUCUUCGGAUUGUAAACUCCUGUUGUUGGGGAAGAUAAUGACGGUACCCAACAAGGAAGUGACGGCUAACUACGUG
Molecule: ribosomal RNA, 466 nt
Filed under: uncultured bacterium
Lineage: Bacteria
Description: partial 16S ribosomal RNA
Rfam family: Bacterial small subunit ribosomal RNA
Source: RNAcentral